This 467-nucleotide ribosomal RNA is filed under the name uncultured bacterium. Its description in RNAcentral is "partial 16S ribosomal RNA". It matches the Rfam family "Bacterial small subunit ribosomal RNA", at positions 28 to 507 of the family's 1533-position model. The record is from RNAcentral.
GACGAACGCUGGCGGCGUGCUUAACACAUGCCAGUCGAACGGAAAGGCCUCUUUCGGGGGGUACUCGAGUGGCGAACGGGUGAGUAACACGUGAGUAACCUGCCCUUGACUUUGGGAUAACUUCAGGAAACUGGGGCUAAUACCGGAUAGGAGCUCCUGCUGCAUGGUGGGGGUUGGAAAGUUUCGGCGGUUGGGGAUGGACUCGCGGCUUAUCAGCUUGUUGGUGGGGUAGUGGCUUACCAAGGCUUUGACGGGUAGCCGGCCUGAGAGGGUGACCGGCCACAUUGGGACUGAGAUACGGCCCAGACUCCUACGGGAGGCAGCAGUGGGGAAUAUUGCACAAUGGGUGGAAGCCUGAUGUAGCAACGCCGUGUGCGGGAUGACGGCCUUCGGGUUGUAAACCGCUUUCGCUCAUGACGAAGCUUUGUGUGACGGUAGUGGGUAAAGAAGCACCGGCUAACUACGUG